GGAACCGUGACGAAUGCCGGAUGAAACUACAGGCUGUUUACCCUCCAGGUCGCGGGUUCGAAUCCCGUCGGGUCCUCCA
This 79-nucleotide transfer RNA is filed under the name Rhizobium pisi. RNAcentral describes it as "tRNA-Asn". The record is from RNAcentral. Lineage: Bacteria; Pseudomonadati; Pseudomonadota; Alphaproteobacteria; Hyphomicrobiales; Rhizobiaceae.